Molecule: small RNA, 215 nt
Filed under: Salmonella enterica subsp. enterica serovar Typhi
Lineage: Bacteria; Pseudomonadati; Pseudomonadota; Gammaproteobacteria; Enterobacterales; Enterobacteriaceae
Description: StyR-47
Source: RNAcentral
UGUUGGGCACCGCAUACGGUGCCCUUUCUGGCUCACACACCGUGAAUCGCAAAGAGUAAUGAAUUACGCUGACGAUUAAAGAUGCAUUUCCUGAUAGUAUGGAUACGCAUAUUACGGCGUGAUUGCCCUUCAAGCCAACGCGCUUUACGGCGGCUCGCCUGACGUAGCAUUCGCCAGCGCCCCACUUCCGUUCUACUACGCUUCAUGUUUACGAC